GUGUAUGGCCAUACCACCCUGAAUGUUCCUGAUCUUUUCUGAUCUCGGAAGCUAAGCAGGAUCUGGCCUUGUUAGUUCUUGGAUGGGAGACCAUCUGGGAAUUCCAGGUGCUGUAGGCC
Ribosomal RNA from Cercocebus atys (sooty mangabey), 119 nucleotides. The record is from Ensembl. NCBI's taxonomy places the organism in Eukaryota, Metazoa, Chordata, Mammalia, Primates, Cercopithecidae.